GUGAAAUAUAUAUGAUUUAUACAUGCAUGAUGAGUUUAUAACUUGUUUUGUUAUAUACUCUAUGACUGUUAUUUUCUAAAUAUUACAUUAUUAUGAAAAAUUUAUACUUGAUCUGAUAAGGAAGCGCAAGUUCUACUUACUGGACUAGUGUAGCUCAUAUUCUUUUUGUUUUCUUUUUGAACCGAGAAAUAAGGUUAGGAUCGGCAAAAAGAAUCCAAGCUUGAA
RNAcentral lists this long non-coding RNA (225 nucleotides) under Elaeis guineensis (African oil palm). RNAcentral's name for it is "long non-coding RNA (EGUI_LNC027919)". Lineage: Eukaryota; Viridiplantae; Streptophyta; Magnoliopsida; Arecales; Arecaceae. The record is from RNAcentral.